This 512-nucleotide ribosomal RNA is filed under the name uncultured bacterium. Its description in RNAcentral is "partial 16S ribosomal RNA". It matches the Rfam family "Bacterial small subunit ribosomal RNA", at positions 28 to 523 of the family's 1533-position model. The record is from RNAcentral.
GACGAACGCUGGCGGCGUGCCUAAUACAUGCAAGUCGAGCGAAUCUCAGGGAGCUUGCUCCCAAAGGUUAGCGGCGGACGGGUGAGUAACACGUGGGCAACCUGCCUAUAAGACUGGGAUAACUUCGGGAAACCGGAGCUAAUACCGAAUAAUACUUUUCUACUCAUGUAGGGAAGCUGAAAGACGGUUUCGGCUGUCACUUAUAGAUGGGCCCGCGGCGCAUUAGCUAGUUGGUGAGGUAACGGCUCACCAAGGCGACGAUGCGUAGCCGACCUGAGAGGGUGAUCGGCCACACUGGGACUGAGACACGGCCCAGGCUCCUACGGGAGGCAGCAGUAGGGAAUCUUCCGCAAUGGACGAAAGUCUGACGGAGCAACGCCGCGUGAGUGAUGAAGGUUUUCGGAUCGUAAAACUCUGUUGUUAGGGAAGAACAAGUACCAGAGUAACUGCUGGUACCUUGACGGUACCUAACCAGAAAGCCACGGCUAACUACGUGCCAGCCGCCGCAGUAA